This 421-nucleotide unclassified non-coding RNA is filed under the name Hevea brasiliensis (rubber tree). Lineage: Eukaryota; Viridiplantae; Streptophyta; Magnoliopsida; Malpighiales; Euphorbiaceae. The record is from RNAcentral.
UGGAAUUCGUGGUGGGCGGUGGGAGAUCUGAGUGGUCGGAGAAUAAAAGAGAGGGUGGGAGGAUGGAAAAGGAGAUAGUAUUGGUAUCAGAUCGGAAACGUGGAGCGGCGGAAUUGUGGGUGACGGUAGAAUGCUUGACGGACGCAUGCAUGGAUCUAGAACUGAAGGAGGCAGAGAUAGGGUGUACGGAUGAAGAGAGGAUAAAGAAUCUAGAGAAGGACACGUGUCCAGGGUUUAUAUCGGACGGUAUGAAUAGAGUAGAGUGGUUAAACAAGGCAUUUAAGAGGAUGGUAUGGCAAAUGCUAAUGUGGUGGAACUGAAGGUCUUUUUGCAUUGUGAGGAGUGCAUCAAGAAGAUUCUCAAAGCCAUCAAGAAAAUACAAGAUAUAGAAACAUAUAAUGUAGAUAUACAGCUGAACAAG